Molecule: long non-coding RNA, 361 nt
Organism: Ruditapes philippinarum (Manila clam)
Lineage: Eukaryota; Metazoa; Mollusca; Bivalvia; Venerida; Veneridae
Exons: 3
Source: RefSeq, a predicted model, not a curated record
AUAUAAAUCUAGCGUGAGGCACACGUGUUACAUCUACACUCUCAAUCAUUGAUAAACAACAUUGAACAAUUCUAGAAAAAUCUUUAUUUUAUGAAAACAAGCGUUUGUUGAAACGGAUAUAGUAUGGUGGAAGCGGAAGUCGAAAAAUAAGGCCUUUUUAUGUGGACACCGGGAGCUGAAGAGCUGAUCUAUAGGAACGAAAACGUGUUUGUAGACAAAGAUGAUGCAGAAUGUAUAUGUCAACAAAACUUUGGUCUACAUAAAAAAAAUAUUACCAGGAAGAAAAAUUACAGCAAGGUACCUACUGACUGUGAUGGUGUUUUGGUACAUGGUAGUUGAUAUCAGAGUUCUAUUAUGUAAG